Bos taurus (domestic cattle) is the source of this 1729-nucleotide long non-coding RNA. The record is from Ensembl. Lineage: Eukaryota; Metazoa; Chordata; Mammalia; Artiodactyla; Bovidae.
UUUUCCACAUAGUCUCUCUUUUGCUGAUAACAUAAUUACUAAAGUGGACAGUGACAACCUGUUUGAAACUUGGCUGAGUAACGUCAGUGCCUCUGAGCUAGUGAAGGAAUUCACAGAUUCCAUCACUCGUGUGGGAGCUUUAUGCACACAUGUCCCCUGCGUGCACCUUCACAUGUGGAAGUCUGGGGAAUGGCUGCUGUGCUCGGGCAGCCUCCCGUCGUGAUAGCUGGAGAAGACAGGACAGUGUGCCCUGCUACAUUCACUGUCCUGUUCUCCCUGCGUAAUGGAAGAGAAGCCUCACAUGGAUCGGUCCCAUUAAACCUCUGUAACGGCCUUAAGUGAGAACUUUGCAGGAGGCGUUAAGAGUUUCUGGCUUUGCCUCUGUAGGAAGACCCUUCCUCCCAUGGAUGGGAGUGAGCGCCAGCGAACCUGUGAUCACCUGCUUGCUGAGCGAGCAGGUGUCUGCAAUAGCAAACGCCUCUUCCUUCGAUGGUUAAAGGCCUCUGGGGAAGUAGAGACCCAAUGACAGAAAAUUAAAGAGCAGGCACGUUGGCUAUAGCACCGUCACCUGAUAACCAGCUGUCUUUUUCGUUUAUUUGGCUGGAUUCCUGCAGUUCUGGGCUCCUGAUGUGGAACCGUCUUGCAAAUUGGGUUUAUUGUGUUAGUCGCAUCGUGACACGUGGGAUCCAGUUCCCUAACCAGGGAUUGAACCCGAGCUCCCUGCAUUAGAAGAAUGGAGUCUCAGCCACUGGAGCACCAGGGAGGUCCUCUCAUCUUUUUUUAAGUUAAUUUCUUCGGCUGUGCUGGGUCUUAGUUGAGGCAUGUGGGAUCUACUUCCCUCACCAGAGACCCAACCCGGGCACUUUGUACUGGUAACUCGGAGUCUCAGGCACUGGAUGACCAGAGAAGUCCCGAGAUCCCAACUCUUGAUCACUGAUACUUUGACAAAAGAUCUUCAUGAAACGGGGAAAUGUGGAAUUAAUUACAGAAACCACACCUGCAGGAGGCUUCAGGCUGGGGGAAGUGCUCACCCCCACCAGGUGCGUCAGUUACUCUAAACAGGAAGUGAUCUCUGUCUAUCUCCCACUGGGGAGGCGCCUCUACUCAGCAUCAGGCGGGAGGAAGGAGACUUCUGUUGGCCCCCUACCCCACGCACAGCUCAGUCUGUCAGAGAUUUCAGCAGUCCAGCCAAUGGGAAGCCUCCACUGGACCCCCAGCGCUCCCUGACUGCCCCUUUUCCCCAUGAGAGUGAGUUCCUCCCAUGCUCUCCAUCUGCCUGUGGUCUGCCACAGUGGUGUCUACACGCGUAUUAGAAUUCCUCUGUUGUGGAGCAUAAACCUACAGGAAUGCUGCAAACAGAGCACAUCUAUGCUAAGCCAGGAGCGCUACCCAAACCAAGGUCAACAUUAACUUUGAUCUAACAGGUUAAAGCAACGUCUGAACUGUUCUUUCCAGAAAACAAUUCUGCAAAGUCAUGAUGUGGCAUUCAAUGAGAAUGCGGACAAAAAUGCAAGCAAAGGCAUUAAAGAUGCAUUCAUUAACUCAUACCAAGGCUAUUUUUCUGAAUUUGUGAUGCUUGUGGCAUUUGUCAAUUUUUGACUUAUUUUCUCAUGAUCCAAGAUUACCAUAAAAUAACUGUAUUAGUUGUCCUAAAAUAGCAUUCAUUACAUUAUGUAUACAUUCAUAUUAUACUGUAAAGUUAUGUAUACAUUAUUCAAAAUAUACGUUA